This 526-nucleotide unclassified non-coding RNA is filed under the name Anelosimus eximius. RNAcentral describes it as "partial contains 16S ribosomal RNA and tRNA-Leu (trnL)". The stretch from base 105 to 402 matches the Rfam family "Bacterial large subunit ribosomal RNA", at positions 2074 to 2646 of the family's 2925-position model. The record is from RNAcentral. Lineage: Eukaryota; Metazoa; Arthropoda; Arachnida; Araneae; Theridiidae.
UUUGUUUUUUAAUUAAAAACUAGAAUGAAAGGUUAUACAUUUAAAUUUCUUUAUUAAUUUCUUAUAUAUAAUUUAUAUUAAAUAUAAAAAUAUAUUUUUUAAAUAAAAAGACGAUAAGACCCUAUUAAAUUUUACUUAUAGUUUAACUGGGGAAGUUUUAAAAAUAAAAUUUUUUAUAAAAAUAAAAAUAAAUCUAAUAAAAUUAAAAUUAAAUUAAAUUACUAUAGGGAUAACAGCAUUAUAUUUUUUAAAAGUUCAUAUUAAAAAAAAUGAUUGUGACCUCGAUGUUGAAUUAUAUUUUCUUUAUUAAUGCAAUAAUUAUAAAAGUAGAUCUGUUCGAUCUUUAAAAUAUUACAUGAUUUGAGUUCAAACCGGUGUAAACCAGGUUGGUUUCUAUCUUUUUAUAAAUUCAUAUAUAUAUAUAUAUAUACAUAAAUUUUUCAAGUACGAAAGGAAAAAAAAAUUUUUAUUUUAAUUAAUUAGCAAUUAAUAUGCAUUAGAUUUAGAAUCUAAAUAAACUAUUAUU